RNAcentral lists this ribosomal RNA (393 nucleotides) under uncultured bacterium. RNAcentral describes it as "partial 16S ribosomal RNA". It matches the Rfam family "Bacterial small subunit ribosomal RNA", at positions 523 to 918 of the family's 1533-position model. The record is from RNAcentral.
AUACGGAGGAUCCGAGCGUUAUCCGGAUUUAUUGGGUUUAAAAGGAGCGUAGGUGGAUUGUUAAGUCAGUUGUGAAGGUUUGCGGCUCAACCGUAAAAUUGCAAUUGAUACUGGCAGCCUUGAGUACAGUUGAGGUAGGCGGAAUUCGUGGUGUAGCGGUGAAAUGCUUAGAUAUCACGAAGAACUCCGAUUGCGAAGGCAGCCUACUAAACUGCCACUGACAUUGAUGCUCGAAAGUGUGGGUAUCAAACAGGAUUAGAUACCCUGGUAGUCCACACGGUAAACGAUGAAUACUCGCUGUUUGCGAUAUACAGCAAGCGGCCAAGCGAAAGCGUUAAGUAUUCCACCUGGGGAGUACGCCGGCAACGGUGAAACUCAAAUGAAUUGACGGGG